This 253-nucleotide ribosomal RNA is filed under the name uncultured bacterium. RNAcentral describes it as "partial 16S ribosomal RNA". It matches the Rfam family "Bacterial small subunit ribosomal RNA", at positions 524 to 776 of the family's 1533-position model. The record is from RNAcentral.
GACGGAGGGUGCUAGCGUUGUUCGGAAUGACUGGGCGUAAAGGGCGCGUAGGCGGCCGCUUGCGUCGGAUGUGAAAGCCCGGGGCUCAACCCUCGAAUGCCGGUGGAUACUGUCGGGCUAGAGUGCGGAAGAGGCGAGUGGAAUUCCUGGUGUAGCGGUGAAAUGCGCAGAUAUCAGGAGGAACACCGAUUGCGAAGGCAGCUCGCUGGGACGUAACUGACGCUGAGACGCGAAAGCGUGGGGAGCAAACAGG